Long non-coding RNA from Cygnus olor (mute swan), 585 nucleotides. RefSeq lists it as uncharacterized. The transcript has 5 exons. The record is from RefSeq and is a predicted model, not a curated record. Lineage: Eukaryota; Metazoa; Chordata; Aves; Anseriformes; Anatidae.
GCAAUUUUUGAGGAUCAAAGAAAAUUAAGGCCGCUUAUGACAUCACCAAGUUUCCUAGCUCUGGUUACUAAGAAGUGCUGAUUCCUGUCUCUGUUCUGCACCUGACAGGUUGAACAAAGAAGUGGCCUACAGAUAACCUGGUGUCAGAAGGUGCACAUGAGUUGCUGAGCUGGCCCUGCACGUGAAAACUGAGGUACAAAACUGAGAUUGAAACUGAAGCACAACGCUCAAAUCCAGAGUCCUUCAAUCCUUCAUCUUGGGCUUCUGACAAUAGUUUCACAAUACUUAACUCUAACAGUCUAUCACCGUGCUUUCUAAUGAGGUGAAAGAGGCAAUAGCUGAACACAAGCUGCAUUGGGAAAGUGAUGGGGAAAGGAGGGCCUACCAUCAGCAGGAGCAUCCAGGCAUCUUGUCUGCCACAUGGGGCAUAUGCUGCCUCAAACCCAGACCUGAACUAUGCUACACCAUAUCAUAUCUUUACAUUAGAUGCAGGGCUAUAUGGAAGGAAGACACCAGGAGAUAAAGGCAAGAGACACUUUCCACCUGCCCUGAAGUUCUGGUUGUUUGGCAAAAAAUAAAAAGCAG